UGGGGAAUAUUGGACAAUGGGCGAAAGCCUGAUCCAGCCAUGCCGCGUGUGUGAAGAAGGUCUUCGGAUUGUAAAGCACUUUAAGUUGGGAGGAUGGGCAUUAACCUAAUACGUUAGUGUUUUGACGUUACCGACAGAAUAAGCACCGGCUAACUCUGUGCCAGCAGCCGCGGUAAUACAGAGGGUGCAAGCGUUAAUCGGAAUUACUGGGCGUAAAGCGCGCGUAGGUGGUUUGUUAAGUUGGAUGUGAAAUCCCCGGGCUCAACCUGGGAACUGCAUUCAAAACUGACUGACUAGAGUAUGGUAGAGGGUGGUGGAAUUUCCUGUGUAGCGGUGAAAUGCGUAGAUAUAGGAAGGAACACCAGUGGCGAAGGCGACCACCUGGACUAAUACUGACACUGAGGUGCGAAAGCGUGGGGAGCAAACA
This 427-nucleotide ribosomal RNA is filed under the name uncultured bacterium. Its description in RNAcentral is "partial 16S ribosomal RNA". It matches the Rfam family "Bacterial small subunit ribosomal RNA", at positions 355 to 774 of the family's 1533-position model. The record is from RNAcentral.